RNAcentral lists this ribosomal RNA (253 nucleotides) under uncultured bacterium. Its description in RNAcentral is "partial 16S ribosomal RNA". It matches the Rfam family "Bacterial small subunit ribosomal RNA", at positions 524 to 776 of the family's 1533-position model. The record is from RNAcentral.
UACGUAGGGUCCGAGCGUUAAUCGGAAUUACUGGGCGUAAAGCGUGCGCAGGCGGUUUUGUAAGGCAGAUGUGAAAGCCCCGGGCUUAACCUGGGAAUGGCAUUUGGGACUGCAAGGCUGGAGUACGGCAGAGGGAGGUGGAAUUCCAGGUGUAGCAGUGAAAUGCGUAGAUAUCUGGAGGAACACCGAUGGCGAAGGCAGCCUCCUGGGCUAGUACUGACGCUCAAGCACGAAAGCGUGGGGAGCAAACAGG